UAGGGAAUAUUGGACAAUGGGUGAGAGCCUGAUCCAGCCAUGCCGCGUGCAGGAAGAAGGCGUUAUGCGUUGUAAACUGCUUUUGCCAGGGGAUAAAAAGACCGUGCGCGGUUAAUUGAAGGUACCUGGUGAAUAAGCCACGGCUAACUACGUGCCAGCAGCCGCGGUAAUACGUAGGUGGCAAGCGUUGUCCGGAAUCACUGGGCGUAAAGGGUGUCGAGGCGGUUGUAUUAGUCGUUCGUAAAAUCUACGAGCUUAACUUGUAGGCGGCGAACGAAACGGUACGACUUGAGGUUUGGAGAGGUGCGUGGAACUCACGGUGUAGGGGUGAAAUCCGUUGAUAUCGUGGGGAACACCAAAGGCGAAGGCAGCGCACUGGCCAAAAUCUGACGCUCACACACGAAAAGCUAGGGUAGCGAAGAGGAUUAGAUACCCAGGUAGUCCCUG
RNAcentral lists this ribosomal RNA (447 nucleotides) under uncultured bacterium. RNAcentral describes it as "bacterial SSU rRNA". It matches the Rfam family "Bacterial small subunit ribosomal RNA", at positions 355 to 799 of the family's 1533-position model. The record is from RNAcentral.